RNAcentral lists this ribosomal RNA (2079 nucleotides) under Bordetella bronchiseptica. Its description in RNAcentral is "bacterial LSU rRNA". It matches the Rfam family "Bacterial large subunit ribosomal RNA", at positions 14 to 2139 of the family's 2925-position model. Lineage: Bacteria; Pseudomonadati; Pseudomonadota; Betaproteobacteria; Burkholderiales; Alcaligenaceae. The record is from RNAcentral.
AGUGCAUAUGGUGGAUGCCUUGGCGAUCACAGGCGAUGAAGGACGUAGUAGCCUGCGAAAAGCUGCGGGGAGCUGGCAAACAAGCAUUGAUCCGCAGAUAUCCGAAUGGGGAAACCCACCGCGCAAGCGGUAUCCCUGGCUGAAUACAUAGGCCAGUGGAGGCGAACCGGGUGAACUGAAACAUCUCAGUAGCUCGAGGAAAAGAAAUCAACCGAGAUUCCGAAAGUAGUGGCGAGCGAAAUCGGAAGAGCCUUUACGAUUUAGCAUUUUGCAUAGUCGAACGGAAUGGAAAGUCCGGCCGUAGCAGGUGAUAGCCCUGUAGACGAAAUGCAGAGUGUGGAACUAGGCGUAAGAGAAGUAGGGCGGGACACGUGAAAUCCUGUCUGAAGAUGGGGGGACCAUCCUCCAAGGCUAAAUACUCGUGAUCGACCGAUAGUGAACCAGUACCGUGAGGGAAAGGCGAAAAGAACCCCGGAAGGGGAGUGAAAUAGAUCCUGAAACCGUAUGCAUACAAACAGUCGGAGCCUCUUUAUGGGGUGACGGCGUACCUUUUGUAUAAUGGGUCAGCGACUUACAUUCAGUGGCGAGCUUAACCGAAUAGGGAAGGCGUAGCGAAAGCGAGUCCGAAUAGGGCGUCCAGUCGCUGGGUGUAGACCCGAAACCAGAUGAUCUACCCAUGGCCAGGUUGAAGGCACGGUAACACGUGCUGGAGGACCGAACCCACUAGUGUUGAAAAACUAGGGGAUGAGCUGUGGAUAGGGGUGAAAGGCUAAACAAAUCUGGAAAUAGCUGGUUCUCUCCGAAAACUAUUUAGGUAGUGCCUCAAGUAUUACUGCAGGGGGUAGAGCACUGUUAUGGCUAGGGGGUCAUGGCGACUUACCAAACCAUGGCAAACUCCGAAUACCUGCAAGUACAGCUUGGGAGACAGAGCACCGGGUGCUAACGUCCGGACUCAAGAGGGAAACAACCCAGACCGCCAGCUAAGGUCCCGAAUUAUCGCUAAGUGGGAAACGAAGUGGGAAGGCAUAGACAGUCAGGAGGUUGGCUUAGAAGCAGCCACCCUUUAAAGAAAGCGUAAUAGCUCACUGAUCGAGUCGUCCUGCGCGGAAGAUGUAACGGGGCUAAGCGAUAAACCGAAGCUGCGGGUGUGCACUUUUAGUGCACGCGGUAGGAGAGCGUUCUGUAAGCCUGCGAAGGUGGCUUGUAAAGGCUGCUGGAGGUAUCAGAAGUGCGAAUGCUGACAUGAGUAGCGAUAAAGGGGGUGAAAAGCCCCCUCGCCGUAAGUCCAAGGUUUCCUGCGCAACGUUCAUCGGCGCAGGGUGAGUCGGCCCCUAAGGCGAGGCAGAGAUGCGUAGCUGAUGGGAAGCUGGUUAAUAUUCCAGCACCGUCGUACAGUGCGAUGGGGGGACGGAUCGCGGAAGGUCAUCAGGGUGUUGGACGUCCCUGUUGCUGCAUUGAAGAUGGCGCUUAGGCAAAUCCGGGCGCGAGAAUCAAGGGUGUGGCACGAGCGAGCAAGUCUCGCGAAGUGAUUGGAAGUGGUUCCAAGAAAAGCCUCUAAGCUUCAGCUGUACGAGACCGUACCGCAAACCGACACAGGUGGACGGGAUGAAUAUUCCAAGGCGCUUGAGAGAACUCAGGAGAAGGAACUCGGCAAAUUGAUACCGUAACUUCGGGAGAAGGUAUACCCUGGUAGUGUGAAGCGCCUGCGCGCUGAGCAUGAAGGGGUCGCAGAGAAUCGGUGGCUGCGACUGUUUAUUAAAAACACAGCACUCUGCAAAGACGAAAGUCGACGUAUAGGGUGUGACGCCUGCCCGGUGCCGGAAGGUUAAGUGAUGGGGUGCAAGCUCUUGAUCGAAGCCCCGGUAAACGGCGGCCGUAACUAUAACGGUCCUAAGGUAGCGAAAUUCCUUGUCGGGUAAGUUCCGACCUGCACGAAUGGCGUAACGAUGGCCACACUGUCUCCUCCUGAGACUCAGCGAAGUUGAAGUGUUUGUGAUGAUGCAAUCUACCCGCGGCUAGACGGAAAGACCCCAUGAACCUUUACUGUAGCUUUGCAUUGGACUGUGAACCGGCCUGUGU